AAUUUUAUCAGGGGUGUCAAAGUUAUAGCUAAUUUUCAGCUUUGUUCUUUCUGUUUCAAUUUCCAUCUCAUUUUAUAUUUUUGGGGGUAAAUUUUCUCAGAGUUUAGAAGAGAAUUUCAAUUCUUUAAUCUCUCUUUUAGUUGUGAUCACUCUGAUAAUAAUUGCCAUUAUAUGCCUGAUGACAAUAUGAACCUACGUGAUAUAGUUGAAACAACAUUUAAACAAUAAAACAGUGUUUCAUUUUGAUAGCUGUCUUUUUUAUGUUGCUUAUAAUUUGCUUAUUUUGACGUGGAAGGGCUAACAAGAUUGCCAAUAUAGGUAUAAGAGGGUUUGCAAUCAUGGGGGGGGGGGGCAGGGGCUUAAAAUUGAUCCAAAUAGUUUUCCAGAACCGUAUAAUUUUCUCAUAGGGCAAAUGACCCGGAAGAGGGGGUGUGGCUUUCUUUGAUUGAAAAUUAAAUAUGAUUCGAUAAUUUUUUUGAUUGCUUUAUGAUAUGAGUUUAGUCAGGUCCCCGGGUCAGUCAUGAAAGUCAACAAAAGCGAGACAUCUAAUUUCAAACUUGGCUUAUACAUAUCGAGGGAAAAACAGCGCCCCUGGCAAGUGCCUCCCUCCCUUUUUGUCUUGAAUCUUGGUUUUCUCCAGGCCGGGCUCCAGGCAUUUGCCCCCGCAUUUGCCAUUUAAUUUUGAAAAAAAAAAUCGAUAUUUCUUGUAUUGUUACAUUGCAUGAAAAAAGACUAGGAAUUAGUGGACGAUACCUUAUCCUUCCUAUGAAAAGUAAAUUUGUAGCUGCGCUACACGGACCAUCACGGACGGACAAGAUUCGGCUGGCAAGCUCGCUAGUCAGCUGCUGAUCCACAUCCUCGAUCCUCCGAUCGAUCGAGAGACCUUGCGAGCUAGCUGAAUUCGACUUUGUGUGUACUUCGCCAGCCUGGGUGACGAACACUGGAACGGUUGCUCUGGAAAAUGAAACCGUGAGGAACAAUUUGCGUUCCGAGCGUUGAUACUGUGAUCCCAGGUCAUCAUUAUUCCUUUCAGCCUAGCCUUCUGGCCGCUGAUAGGGUCGAUCAUGCAGAGCCAAAAAAUCCAGCAUAAAUAAAUUGCCCCCUUGCCUUUUUUCACAUUCCCUUCUCUCGACCUCUUUCAAAAGGCCAGGCUCCAAUCACCAUUCAUAAAAGAAAUACUUGGCCAAGAAGUAAACCCAGAAAGGUAUUAAGCAAAUUGAUACCAUUGGGCCGGUGAAUUUAUAUAUUUGGCUAUCAUCGGAAACCCCCCACCCUUUUUCGUUUUGAGUAUGGUCAUAGCUCCAAUGCGUAUUACAGCAGAGGAUGUGUGAUUAAAUGCAGCAUAGAUCUCUGCAUGUCGCUAAGCUACACCUCUCUAUGCCCUUCUUCAGCCUGGCCAGUGCACGAGAUAGACAGGAAUUAUGCUCAAACUCAUCACAGAAAAGCUGCAGAAUCAGUCUCUGGAAGAUGUCAACUUUCCCGCUAUAUUGCCAAAGAUCCCUUUUCAGUACCAGACUAGGAGUAAGACCAGGGCAUUACAACAGACACUACAAGAUGCCUUAAUACCAGGUGAGAAUCUACACUGUACAUUUCAAACUAGUCUGCAGACACAGACCUUUGGUUCUUGCGCCAUUCACAUAGUGCAUCAUACAGAGUCUGAAAUAGUGAAACUAGAUUCACUGUGUACUGAGGCUACAUCUUAUUUGACACAGAGUCUCCUUUCUAGACAUGGUAUAAUUGUUAAUGUGCCAAAAAUGAGUCUGUGUUCGCAGACUAAUUUCCAACUUCUAACAGGCAGGUUUGGAAAUAGCUGGAGGCCACCAGACGCUAUGGCCUCCGGUGCUGCAGUACCCUCUUUUGAUUAAAAGUUGAAGCCACUAGAAAUGUGGCCUUGUUUAAUUUGCCAGGGGGCAUAUUCUCAUAAAUAACAAAGACUUAAAAAUUCAUUUCAUUUUUAAAACGCCCCUUUAAAAGUGGCCUUCGUGCCCCUUCCAUCAGUCAUACCAUGGUCCCCUCUGCCAUUGGUUCCAUGACAUUUGCUCUGGCGACAAUUGCUCCGGUGACAAUUGCUCCGCUGUGAAUUCUACACACUAAUGGAAUCGCCAACUUCAACCCUGGAUUUAACGCAAACCCUAACCCUAGACCUAACAUAAAACCCUAACGCUAACCCUUUAUCUUCAUAGACGAAAUAAAGCCCGGAGCAAUCGUCGCAGGAGCAAAUUUCUUGUCACCCUGCCAUCUGCCAUAUUUCAAAAAGUUGCCCCUCACCAAAGUGGCAUUGUCCCCUUGAAAAUCCUAUUUCGAGGCCUGCGGAGCCUUACCGUGGUGCGUAUAUUGCUGUGUAUUGCUUUGCAUUGUUGCAUACUUUGAAUGAUAAUGAUGAUAAUAAUAGUAUUGUUUUUACCCAGGGUAGCCACUUAAGUUUUAUACAAACUGCUCUGCCAGUGGGUCCUACAAGACAUCAUUGUAUGCAUAUACAUGUAUGUGUAGGGACUGCUGUGUGCAGCUGUUCUCAGUAAUGCAUCGCAUAUUUCUAGGGUAGCAGUCACACUGUUAGUUCAAACGCAAACAACAUAUAAACCAGGCUGUCAAUAUAGAGAGCAGCAACAGCAGCAAUGGCUCUUGCAGCUGCGGUCAAUGUGCGAGCAACAUUGCAGCAAUACUUUCUGUCAUGCAAAGAAUAACAAGAACAAACAAGAAGGAGUAUUUGCAUGAUAUUCUGCACCGCAUUCACUGAAAAAAUUUCACUUCUGAAAAAUAUGAAAUAGAAUCAAGAUAUCCUUUUCGAUGUUUGGAUCUGUGCUUAUUCAAAAUAAUGGUAACAUGGUGACUUUGUAAAAAAGAAAACAAAACCCUGACAGGGUAAGCCUUACACCGUAUUUAUGCUGAACUUUUCAAAACUGGAGGGAGUUUUGAUAGGUUUGAUAGAAACAAGAGUUGGGUCAUUUUGUGCCGUUGUAGAGCAAACAAGGAAAGGCUCCAUCCAGCUCGGUUGCCUGACACGAUAACUAUUUACCUAACCCCACCACUGUCCGAAAGUCCGCCCCAAAUGAAGAGCGUUCUGGCCUGCAGAGGCAAUUUAUUUUGAAAGAUUUUUUCCUGGUUGGCUUUUGUCGAGGGAAAUGCGAUUCUUGCAGGUGCACUAUGUUUUUCCUCUAAACUAGGGCGCAUCAGUAGCCCUUUAGCCGGACAUGAGAGAGAGCUAUAUUUGUCAUGCCCGACCCAAGGGGGAACUAGAUAUCUGGUUUGCAGCCUCUACUGUCAUUCUUUCAGCUACAUAACCACCAUCAUCCUCCAUUCUAAAGUGUGAUUUUUCAUACAACCAGCUUUACACAUGUAGCUCUGUGGCAGCAAUUUCCAUACGACUUACUAUCAUUUCAUUUUAUUUCAAAGCAGGUGGAUGUAUAGAAAAGGUAAAAUGCCAAGCAAGUGCAAAAGAUUUUUUUGGCAGAUUUUACGUUAUUUCCUGUCAAAGAGUUGGGGCUAGAUUUCCUUUCAACUAUAAACCCAUCCUUUACCUACAUCAUUCAUACUUCCCUGACGCCCACUUCCUUUGGAUUUAGAGGUUAAUUCCCAAGAAUAACAUUGGACAAAAAUUGAGAGAGAAAGAAAAAAAACAGUUCUUAUCUGACCCCAUAAUUGCCAUUAGCUGUUAGACUUAUUUUAUAAUUAAGAUUGAUGAUGCAUUAGACUUGAUUAUUAUUUGAUGUUUGAAAUUUGAAAGAACUGUGCUAAAAUAUUUAACAUACAUUCUUCAGACCAUGAAUCAGUUUUUAUAUAAAGUGUAACAAGAAAAAUGAUUUAUCUGCAAGACUUGAUAGAUUUGUGCGCGAGACAUGUACGUACGUGUACAUGUACAUUGUGGAUUUCUUUUGUCAUAGUUUAUUGCAGAUAUUUUUAUAGGCAGCUUUCGACGAGAAAUGUCAACGAGCCCUGCAAAUUUUUUUUUUUCAUUUAAAAGAUCCGUAUGACUUUUUGUUCAAGCUGUCAUUCAAAGAAUAUAUUUAUUUGUAAAGAGAUGCAGCAAUAUCUAUUGGAUAAAUCAAUAUUCAUGAAGGAAUAUGAUAUUUGAAACCAAUUUAAAAUUGAUGGUGCUCCUGACUAAUGGCGAACUUGUCUGGCAGUGACAGAUAAAAUGACAAUAUUUUCAGCCAAUGGGGGAUGAAUAAUGUUACACAGAAGCCUAAAAGUUGUAUUUUUUCAAUUCAGAUUUCAGUAUAACAGUUAUGGUUAUUUUAAAGUGUUCCAUCAAUUUUGCAUAUUAUAUUUUAUACAGUAUAAACAACACUAAGAAUAAUAAAGGAUAUAUAUGUAUACUUGAAGAAAAAGAAGAUGGGUUAUUUCAUCUAUCAUCAGUAAUUUCCCAACUGAAUAUAUUCGUAAGUUAAAAAAAAGGUAUGCACAAAAGUGGCUACUCUUCUAUAAAAAAAGGCUUUGAAAUUUGAUAAUGAUGUAAUUUCCUGUUGAAGUGUUUUUAGGAAUAUAGAUAAUUGGAUGCUUCGAGGUAUGGUUUCAUAAAUUUAUCAAAUCCAAUUAGAAAACAGCUCCUGUGAAGCCUGAAAUGGCUCUGUUAAAACAUUUAUGGAAUCGGUUUCUGCCAUGGAACUGGUUUAAUAGGAAAAAAAGGCAUUCAUGAAAGAAAUGUUAUUUCGAGCUGCUUGCUCCCCACCCUUCCUGCGCCGUUUUGAACAGAGACAGAAUUUCUGGUUGGAAAAUUACAUUACAGAUGCCAGAAAAUUCAAUGGCUGGCUGUGGCUGGAGGCGAGUCUUUGCUUUGCGAUUCAAUUUGCGGCGUGGUGCAGGGGGAACACGUGAGCAGAUUCACUCAUGGCGAUGCCUCUAUGUCAGGCUUGCCAGAGAAUCAUGCUCGCCUAUCAUGCAACAAAACCCUCCUGCCGUGAAUAUCAUUAUUAAUGAAGGGAUUAUUUUUGUGAGUUUUUAUGCCUGCCUUGAUAUUAUACCAGUUUAUGAUGUUCAUUUGAUAGGAACUACAUGUGCAGUCAUAUGGCACAUCAAUAUUAUUAAUGUAUUCAUGGUUAUCAAUCCUUCUACAUGUGGAUUUCUAUUAUAUAGCAACCAUAAAUUUGACUAUCAUAGUUAAAACAGUUAAAUUCUACCAUUUUAGUUAAAGACGUUAAAUCCUAGCAAGUCAAAUAUCUCUGUCAUAAUUCUACUUCAUUACCUGCAUUUAUCAAUGAAGAGAUGUUGUUAUGCACUUAUAUUAAGAGGAUGCUGAUACACUUCGGUUUUAUAUGAGGCAAAUUUUUCAAACCGUGAUUGUGGUUAGCAUCAUUAAACUGUCCAAUUUUCAAGAAUGCUAUGUUUGUCCGAGAGAAAACUGAAAUGAAGAAGGGGGAAAAAAGACGAAAGAGCAAUAUCCUGUGAUGACCGUUGAGGUUAAUUUGAAAUUUUAUCACCUUUAGGGUUUGGCUAUUGCUGUGCUUGCCUGGAUGUUGUUGGGCUUGUGUUAUUCAGGGAAAGAUGCAUGUUGAAAUAUCAAACUUGAGGAAAUCUAAAUGUCAAGGAAAUUCAGAAAGAAAGGGCAAGGCAGAAUUUCUUCUUUUCUUUUCUUUUCUUUCUGCCUGUCAGUAAUGGAAAUUUAUUCACUUUGGUUUAAAGUAAUGGAUGGAACGGCAUUCUGACUUUGAUCAGUUGAACCUGGUUGGAUGGGCAUCACUGAAUGCUCAUUAUCAAGCUCAAGGGAGGAUUUUAAAAGAGAUCAAUGGGGAAAGUACUGUAUAAGCAGUGAAUAAAGUCAGGUGGGUAUAAAUGGAAAUGAGGAUUAAAGAUGAAAGAUGUAUAUAAAUGAGGGGAGAUUCAUGUAAAAAUAAAUCUUUUUUUUAGGAAGAACAUCCCCCAUUCCUCACACCUGUACAAGCAGAGUAGGUGGCGUAGGUUUCCUUUCUAAUUUUACUGUGAUUCGUAGAAAAUAGACCAUGAUACCUUACACUUCAAUUUCAAUUCCAUCGACAAUUUUAAAAGCAAGAUUAAUGACCACCAAAGUCCAAUUUAUUCAUCACAACGAUGUGUUUGCUAGGAAACAAUACUAUGCUGCCUUUUCCCCGCUAGCAACAACGAUGCUCCGACUAUUAUAGACUAUUGCAUAUUUGUAGUUUUGAUCCAUGCUGAUCCCGUGAAAUGAAGACCCAUUACAUACAAAGUCCAUGGUCAGUAUAUCAGAAGUAUUCGUCCUUGAUUGCUAUGAAGCACAAGGGGCAAGGACCAGAAGGUAUGCUCAUAUGAGAUGCAUCUCACACCCACCCAUCACC
This is a long non-coding RNA of Lytechinus pictus (painted urchin), 6269 nucleotides long. RefSeq lists it as uncharacterized. Lineage: Eukaryota; Metazoa; Echinodermata; Echinoidea; Temnopleuroida; Toxopneustidae. The transcript is spliced from 3 exons. The record is from RefSeq and is a predicted model, not a curated record.